UACGUAGGGCGCAAGCGUUGUCCGGAAUUAUUGGGCGUAAAGAGCUCGUAGGCGGCCUGUUGCGUCCGCUGUGAAAUCCCGGGGCUCAACCCCGGGCGUGCAGUGGAUACGGGCUGGCUGGAGGCAGGCAGGGGAGAACGGAAUUCCUGGUGUAGCGGUGAAAUGCGCAGAUAUCGGAAAGAACACCCGUGGCGAAGGCGGCACUCUGGGACGGUACUGACGCUGAGACGCGAAAGCGUGGGGAGCGAACAGG
RNAcentral lists this ribosomal RNA (253 nucleotides) under uncultured bacterium. RNAcentral's name for it is "partial 16S ribosomal RNA". It matches the Rfam family "Bacterial small subunit ribosomal RNA", at positions 524 to 776 of the family's 1533-position model. The record is from RNAcentral.